UACGUAGGGUGCAGGCGUUAAUCGGAAUUACUGGGCGUAAAGCGUGCGUAGGCGGCUAUGUAAGACAGAUGUGAAAUCCCUGGGCUUAACCUAGGAACUGCAUUUGUGACUGCAUUGCUGGAGUGUGGUAGAGGGAGAUGGAAUUCCGCAUGUAGCAGUGAAAUGCGUAGAUAUCCGGAGGAACACCGGUGGCGAAGGCGGCUUCCUGGACCGAUACUGACGCUGAGGCGCGAAAGCUAGGGGAGCAAACGGG
Molecule: ribosomal RNA, 253 nt
Filed under: uncultured bacterium
Lineage: Bacteria
Description: partial 16S ribosomal RNA
Rfam family: Bacterial small subunit ribosomal RNA
Source: RNAcentral